Molecule: long non-coding RNA, 263 nt
Organism: Alosa sapidissima (American shad)
Lineage: Eukaryota; Metazoa; Chordata; Actinopteri; Clupeiformes; Clupeidae
Exons: 2
Source: RefSeq, a predicted model, not a curated record
CUUUGCCCAGGCUCCUCUUAGUCCACUGAGAGGGAGCUGGACAGACUGGGCCAUCACUGCCCUGCAAGUCCUCCACACCUAGGCCCCUCUGGACGCAUGCGGAUAGACGUUGUGGUCAGCAGCAGAGCAGACACACCGGUGUGGCCAGGGCAGACGUACUCUCUGUCCCUGCUCUCCUCAGCUCCACCCACACCAUUGUGGGACGACUUGUAAAAACAAGCUGAGAUGGUCUGAUUGACAACCCCCCCCCCCCCUUUCCUAAA